This 206-nucleotide ribosomal RNA is filed under the name uncultured bacterium. RNAcentral describes it as "partial 16S ribosomal RNA". It matches the Rfam family "Bacterial small subunit ribosomal RNA", at positions 1287 to 1500 of the family's 1533-position model. The record is from RNAcentral.
CUCAGUUCGGAUUGGAGUCUGNAACCCGACUCCAUGAAGCUGGAUUCGCUAGUAAUCGCGCAUCAGCCACGGCGCGGUGAAUACGUUCCCGGGCCUUGUACACACCGCCCGUCAAGCCAUGGAAGCCGGGAGUGCCUGAAGUACGCGACCGCAAGGAGCGUCCUAAGGUAAAACCGGUGGCUGGGGCUAAGUCGUAACAAGGUAAC